GUACAAAUGUUCAUUCACUUCUAACAUGGGAUGCCAUUGUUCAUGUGCCAGCACCUCCUUAGUUGUGAAGAGAAAUAAAAGCAACCAACAAAACCCCACCCUGAACUGAGUGGGAGUUACAGAAACAAAAGCCAUGAAAACGAGCUUUGGAAAGCAAUGACUUCCUAGGUGUAGUUGUCAAAUUCUGGAGACCACUGUGUCUGGCAACUCUUUGGAGGAAGGAAAGAGUUCCCAAAGUAGUGGAUGGGCAGUGAGCAACACAUAAGCAAAGUAGUAGAAGCUGUGUCUCCUGGCUUGCCAGUCUAUACAGUUCAGAGGAAUUCUAGUGAUGCUAGUUUCAUAAAAAAUAAAAAACAAAGCGAUCUUUGGAAUAAUUCAAAAACCUCCUGGAUGGUUCAUGCAUUAGAUGGAUUGAUUGUAAAGGUGGGAGUUCACCUAACUCACUUCUUCCCUUUUGAGCAUGCCUCAGCCAUGAGGUAAGGUGGGAGCUGGGCUGCUCUCUGGCAGGAAGAAGGGUCUUGUGCCAGCCUAGAGAGCCUGUGCACAUCCCCAGGGAACAGUUCUGCCCUGCAUGUGCCCCCUGCAAUGAGCUGUGCUGCUGCCAGUGCCCCGUGCAGCUGUAGGGCUGCUCAGCUGUGGGGCAGGGACAGGAGCAGGAGGCUGCAUGUGCAGCUGAGCCAUGGCUGCAAAGUCCAGGGCUCUGGGCUCCCUGCUGUCCCAGGCCAGCCCAGAGGCCAGGCUGUUCCUGUGGGAGCUCUGUGCAAGCGGGACAGGGCUUUUCCUCUGGAGUGCUUCAAGGGUCUUCAUGCCUGGAAAUGUCAACUUGUGCAGCUAUUUAGGAGUUUUCAGGAAGUCUCUCCCACAAAAUAUGGAGCUCCAGAUGCUUUAGAUUUGCUUUACCACCUCAUUUACAUUUUUUUUUUUUUCUUCUUUGCAGGGCUGACUAGGUUCAUUUUUUCCAAAUCUUUCCGGCGAUCUCCUUCUAUGCUCCUUGCCUCUGCUCUGUUUCCUCCCAUCCGGAAAACCUCUCAGUCUUCCAACAGAAGAGAAAUGUGCAGAGUUGAGAAGGAGAGUGGGAAAAAUGGCACCAACUACGAUGAUGACACUAGAGAAAGAGAGGAGAUGAGGUCAAAAGGAAAAGGUCGUAAGGCUUCCUUGCUGUAUCCCACUGAAGGGGAUAAGAAGAAGGAAUCACUGGGACUGCCUUUGAUCCCCCCGAUACGCAGGGCAGUAAGUCCCGAUGUUGGCAGUGCUGCAGGGUCUCUGCAAAGCUCUCUGCAGCUGGAUGUGCAAGAGUCCCAGGAGAUGAGGCCCAGAUCCACCAGGAGAAGCGAAGAUGACAACUCUGAAGAAGGAGGUAGGUACAGGACAUGUCUGUCCUCAAAUGACCAUUGGAAUUUUGACUCAGAGGUGUCAUUUUGAAAGCUUGGUUGAAAAUAAUUAAUUUUAAAAUUUAUUUGACUUCAUUUCAAUACCUUGAUGGGCCCAGUGGGCUCCUGGAGAGUCCAGUCACAGGGAGUGUGCUCUGGUGGUGCAGUGAAUAGGCCGCCAGUGUGAAGUGUUGAAUGGCAGGAGCUGGAGUGGUACCUUUGGGCCCUGGAAAUGCAGUGCAGGAAAAAGAAACAAUCUACUCCACCUAGCACUUGCCCUUUAUCUCCCUGCAGCAUUUCCAGAGUCACAGUUAGUAGAAAAUGAGCAGGCAUUGAGCAUGAAAUGGGAAAUGUUCCCAGUCCUACGUCCUGCCCUUGAAGGAGAAAACCUUUCCUUGGGGCACUUUCUGGGCUGAACCCUUUGAGAUCUGAAGGAGAUUCAUGGACAUUGCCUGGUUCUGCACUGCGAGAAAUAGAGAAACCUCCUCUGAGGGAAAGUCCUUGUGAAAUUUCCGAUUAAGGAGAAGGAGGUUUCCAAAUGGAUGCAGCCUAUGCAGGGUCUGAGUUUGUCAUCCUCUGAGAGCACAAGCCCAAAGCCACCUAUGGCAGGUUCACCAUGACAAAUAUCUUCCCCGACUCUCUCUGCCUGGGUCAGUGCUGCAGGCUGAGGCUGCAGGAGGAGAUGCCUUCUGCCUUGUCCCUCCCUGCCUGCCUUGCCUGAUCCCUGACAAGUAGAAUUGUGCCAGACAAAAUGCAGUCUCUGAUGCAUCUGUGUCAGCCAAUGCUUUCAAGUUGAAAGCCUCAAUGAAAGUCUGUUGUUGUUCCUUUGCCAUCUCUGGGCAUUUACUGAUAGGAGAGAUGAGACUUGAAGACAUAAUUUUGCUGCUGCAGGAAAAGGGAUCAGAUGUCCUGGUCCCUUUGCUCAGGGUUUGUUCUGCCAAAUCCUGGGUACAGCCCCUUUGGAAAGACUCCUUAAUUGCUGAUAUGCAGCUGCAAUGCUGAAUGCAGUUGGGGAGAAUUACUGCUCAGUAUUGCUCAGGUGACAUUUUUGCUGGAUUGAUUCUGGCCUAGAAAUUACCUAUCUCAUCAAAGGUUGCCAGAUGCUCUUUUGUAAAUGACGUCACCAUUGUACUGGGAUAAAGAAACACAGAUUUUACCCGAGUCUUCUAUUUAUGCUCUACACUCUGCUGUUUGCAUUUAGGAAAUUCUUAGUGGUUUUUAACUGCCAUGAUCAGAAAUGUUUUAUUGCAGGUGAUCUUUGUGUUGGUAUUUGGUGUCUCUGCAGGAAAGAAAGCAGGGAAUAAACCCCAGGGGCAGGGAAUCUGAGCA
Molecule: long non-coding RNA, 2699 nt
Organism: Cyanistes caeruleus (blue tit)
Lineage: Eukaryota; Metazoa; Chordata; Aves; Passeriformes; Paridae
Source: Ensembl